Molecule: non-coding RNA, 112 nt
Organism: Aspergillus luchuensis
Lineage: Eukaryota; Fungi; Ascomycota; Eurotiomycetes; Eurotiales; Aspergillaceae
Source: Rfam
GGCAAGAUGGCCGAGUUGGUCCAAGGCGUCAGGUUAAGGUCCACCUUAAUACCCAGCUUUAUAGCUUCCUGAUCAUCGUAAGAUGGCGUGGGUUCGAAUCCCACUCUUGUCA